RNAcentral lists this transfer RNA (74 nucleotides) under Candidatus Dojkabacteria bacterium. Its description in RNAcentral is "tRNA-Cys". It matches the Rfam family "tRNA". From Rfam's summary of the family: Transfer RNA (tRNA) molecules are approximately 80 nucleotides in length. Their secondary structure includes four short double-helical elements and three loops (D, anti-codon, and T loops). The record is from RNAcentral.
GGUGUCAUAGCCAAGUGGUAAGGCAUGAGUCUGCAAAACUCUGAUCCCGGGUUCGAAUCCCGGUGACACCUCCA